Molecule: long non-coding RNA, 207 nt
Filed under: Gallus gallus (chicken)
Lineage: Eukaryota; Metazoa; Chordata; Aves; Galliformes; Phasianidae
Source: RNAcentral
CUCGGGGAUCUUUGUGAGUUGGUUAGUCGCUAAGUUCAGUUCUACCAUACUAGUCCAAGUGCCAAAGUCCAAGGGGAGAGAGGUCAGCUGAUUGUCCUUCAUGUUCAGCUUACUUAAUACUUUAGCUCUAGAGAAAAUUCCAAAGGGGAUUUUAUUGAUGCGGUUGUGCUCCAUGUUGAGAGAGUAGAUUGUGGAGAACUGGGACGG